AAAGAUGAUUACUAACUACUCGUCUAUAGAAGGAAGUAAAUGAACAGUAUUUGGUAAGAUCUCUUGAGAGCUGAAACUCUGCCUCUUUGAAUAUUCAUCUACUGUUCACCACUCUCUACUGAUUUUAGCAUCGGAGGAUCUCCGCCGGAUACAAUUUCAAUCAUUGUAGAUUUCAUUUUGUAGGUGCUCUUUUUACCGACGACAGAUACAAUAGGGGAUUGGCCGCAACACAACUUAUUUAGAUCAUCACUUACAAGAGUUCAUAGUGCCACAUUAACAUGAAGUA
Molecule: long non-coding RNA, 286 nt
Filed under: Elaeis guineensis (African oil palm)
Lineage: Eukaryota; Viridiplantae; Streptophyta; Magnoliopsida; Arecales; Arecaceae
Description: long non-coding RNA (EGUI_LNC033750)
Source: RNAcentral